UAGUCCCAGACAGUCAGUGCGGAUUGUUACUCCGUGCGCUAUGGCUCCCAGUGAUGGGAAAUGUAGUCACAGACAGUCAGUGCGGAUUGUUACUCCAAGCGCUAUGGCUCCCAGUGAUGGGAAAUGUAGUCACAGACAGUCAGUGCGGAUUGUUACUCCGUGCGCUAUGGCUCCCAGUGAUGGGAAAUGUAGUCCCAGACAGUCAGUGCGGAUUGAUACUCCGUGCGCUGUGGCUCCCAGUGAUGGGAAAUGUAGUCCCAGACAGUCAGUGCGGAUUGUUACUCCGUGCGCUAUGGCUCCCAGUGAUGGGAAAUGUAGUCACAGACAGUCAGUGCGGAUUGUUACUCCAUGCGCUAUGGCUCCCAGUGAUGGGAAAUGUAGUCACAGACAGUCAGUGCGGAUUGUUACUCCGUGCGCUAUGGCUCCCAGUGAUGGGAAAU
Molecule: long non-coding RNA, 440 nt
Filed under: Pelobates cultripes (western spadefoot toad)
Lineage: Eukaryota; Metazoa; Chordata; Amphibia; Anura; Pelobatidae
Source: RNAcentral